UCUAGAGAAACUGCCGGUGACAAGCCGGAGGAAGGCGGGGAUGACGUCAAGUCCUCAUGGCCCUUAUGGGCUGGGCUACACACGUGCUACAAUGGCGGUGACAGUGGGCAGCGAAGGGGCGACCCCUAGCUAAUCCUCAAAAACCGUCUCAGUUCGGAUUGCACUCUGCAACUCGAGUGCAUGAAGGUGGAAUCGCUAGUAAUCGCGGAUCAGCAUGCCGCGGUGAAUACGUUCCCGGGCCUU
This 243-nucleotide ribosomal RNA is filed under the name uncultured Oceanibaculum sp. Its description in RNAcentral is "partial 16S ribosomal RNA". It matches the Rfam family "Bacterial small subunit ribosomal RNA", at positions 1139 to 1382 of the family's 1533-position model. Lineage: Bacteria; Pseudomonadati; Pseudomonadota; Alphaproteobacteria; Rhodospirillales; Oceanibaculaceae. The record is from RNAcentral.